This 402-nucleotide ribosomal RNA is filed under the name uncultured bacterium. Its description in RNAcentral is "bacterial SSU rRNA". It matches the Rfam family "Bacterial small subunit ribosomal RNA", at positions 355 to 774 of the family's 1533-position model. The record is from RNAcentral.
UGGGGAAUAUUGCACAAUGGGGGAAACCCUGAUGCAGCGACGCCGCGUGAAGGAUGAAGUAUUUCGGUAUGUAAACUUCUAUCAGCAGGGAAGAAAAUGACGGUACCUGACUAAGAAGCCCCGGCUAACUACGUGCCAGCAGCCGCGGUAAUACGUAGGGGGCAAGCGUUAUCCGGAUUUACUGGGUGUAAAGGGAGCGUAGACGGCUGUGCAAGUCUGGAGUGAAAACCCGGGGCUCAACCCCGGGAUUGCUUUGGAAACUGUGUAGCUGGAGUACCGGAGAGGCAAGUGGAAUUCCUCGUGUAGCGGUGAAAUGCGUAGAUAUUAGGAGGAACACCAGUGGCGAAGGCGGCUUGCUGGACGGUAACUGACGUUGAGGCUCGAAAGCGUGGGGAGCAAACA